CUACGGGGCGCUCCAGUGGGGAAUAUUGCACAAUGGGCGCAAGCCUGAUGCAGCCAUGCCGCGUGUAUGAAGAAGGCCUUCGGGUUGUAAAGUACUUUCAGCGGGGAGGAAGGGAGUAAAGUUAAUACCUUUGCUCAUUGACGUUACCCGCAGAAGAAGCACCGGCUAACUCCGUGCCAGCAGCCGCGGUAAUACGGAGGGUGCAAGCGUUAAUCGGAAUUGCUGGGCGGAAAGCGCACGCAGGCGGUUUGUUAAGUCAGAUGUGAAAUCCCCGGGCUCAACCUGGGAACUGCAUCUGAUACUGGCAAGCUUGAGUCUCGUAGAGGGGGGUAGAAUUCCAGGUGUAGCGGUGAAAUGCGUAGAGAUCUGGAGGAAUACCGGUGGCGAAGGCGGCCCCCUGGACGAAGACUGACGCUCAGGUGCGAAAGCGUGGGGAGCAAACAGGAUUAGAUACCCGAGUAGUC
RNAcentral lists this ribosomal RNA (464 nucleotides) under uncultured bacterium. RNAcentral describes it as "partial 16S ribosomal RNA". It matches the Rfam family "Bacterial small subunit ribosomal RNA", at positions 339 to 795 of the family's 1533-position model. The record is from RNAcentral.